Nerophis ophidion (straightnose pipefish) is the source of this 4985-nucleotide RNA transcript. It is a transcript of the gene named serine palmitoyltransferase, long chain base subunit 1, with no coding region annotated. Lineage: Eukaryota; Metazoa; Chordata; Actinopteri; Syngnathiformes; Syngnathidae. The record is from RefSeq and is a predicted model, not a curated record. The transcript is spliced from 8 exons.
UGUCACUUGUUUUUUUAAUUGAAGUACCAGUAGAAUGGAAAAACAAAUUGCCUCUAUAUUUAAGCUAUUAUGAUGCAUAUGUGAUUUAUGACACCAAAAGACUUCCGUUUGCGAGUAAAUAGAUAUGAUCAAAAUAGUAUCAAUCUCAUGGAUAUUCCCGAGCUGUUUUGAGAGAUAAUCAGUGAUCCAGUCACUUGAUCACUUUAUUCAGAUUAAUCACAUUUGGAAUUUAAAUUAAUCACUUGCUUGCAUGAUUAAAAAUUAAUUAAGAAAAAAAUUCCUAUAUUUCUACACAAAUUGAAUUUCAAAGUCAGAAUGUCAUCCAGGAACAUUUUUGAACGUUCUACUUGGAUGCUGGUCAUUUAUUCGCACAACAUUUGGCAACCGUUUUAUUGAAGGAUGAUUUGGAGUUAAAUUUUUCAGGAAACACACCAGCCUGAUUCUCCUCACUCAUUUUUGUACUGACGUAUGCAUGGAUCUGAUCACUGACUGUAGGGACCCCACUUGGAGACCCCUUUGAAAAUGAGACGCUGCAUCUCAGGGGGCUAUCCCAAAUCAAUUUAAUUGUAUAGCGGUCAAGGUAAAAGAGCUUGUACGGUCAAAAUAAAUAGCAAGAAUAAUCUAAGCAUGUGUGAUAAUUCUUUGUGAUUAAUCACAUUAGUUAACUCGAUAAUUUUGAAGUCCCUAAUUUUAAUUAAUUGUAUACUAAUACAUUGCAUAUACAGUAAUUUUAGUUAUGAAAUUAUAUUCACAUAAAUACAUGUUUUAUUACUUUUGUCUUCAUCAUAAUCAACUAACGACAGGCAAAUUCACAUAAGGAUUCAAUGAUUAGAAUAUUUCAAGUUAAAUUAUCAUGCAUUGGCAUAAUUUUCUCUGUAUUUGCUUGUAUUUGAAUCGAUGCCAAAAUUCCCAGUAUCACAACCACCAACGUUCCCACUAAGGUACGUGCCUGUGCAAUUGCACACUGCUCACGCGUCCUCUGCGCACGGCAAAUCUUGGCCGCGCACAAAAUCCAAUAAAAAGACAUAACUGCCGUUGCUCGCAUGUGCACCACUGAAUGCUGAAGGAGUUUGGCGUUUGCUCACACAUGAAAGAUUGGAGGGAAAAUUGACCACCAACCUACCGUCUGGUCUUCAUUAGAUGUUCAAAUAUGUGACAAUAAACCAGUUCUCUCAAUGGGUGUACAACCUGUGAGAGAGCGAUGAAUAGUGGAAAACACAGCAAUGUGAGUGAAACACCACCAGUAACAGUGUUGACCACAAAGCAUUGUUUCAAACGUAAAGCAGUGUAUACAAAUAGUAUGUGAUUAGAAGGGGCAUUAACAGUGUAAAAACACAGAUUAAUCACAUAGUUAGUUUUGACCCAACAUGCUCCUUUACCUUAACAGCGGAUGGUUACCGGAAAGGCUGCGUGGGUAAUAAGGUCAGUGAUCAGGUUAUUCUGUACGUAAGUGCAAAGAUGAGUGAGAGAACUCCUCUUAUGGUGGUAAGUUUUGUUUCAAAAUACAGACCGACAGGACAUUAAAUUACAACAGGCUAAUUUCAAAAUUUUCUUAUCGAAGCAUAAGAAGUUUAAAAAACCUUUAAAGGUCUACUGAAACCCACUACUACUGACCACGCAGUCAGAUAGUUUAUACAUCAAUAAUGAAAUAUUAACAUUGCAACACAUGCCAAUACGGCGGGUUUAGUUUACUAAAUUGCAAUUUUAAAUUUCCCGCGAAGUAUCCUGUUGAAACAUCACGGAAUGAUGACGCGUAUGAUUACGCGUGCGCGUGAUGUCACGAAUUGUUGGGGACAUCUUAGCUCAGGUCCACACACGGCUAACAGUCGUCUCUGUUCAUCACAUAAUUACACAGUAAUUUGGACAUCUUUGUUGCUGAAUCUUUUGCAAUUUGUUCAAUUAAUAAUGGAGACUACGAAGAAGAAAGUUGUUGGAAAGCGGUGUAUUGCAGCGGGCUGUAGCAACACAAACACUGCCGGUGUUUCUUUGUUUACAUUCCCCAAAGAUGGCGGUAAAGCUGUCAUUUGAUACCGAGCGGUCAAGCGAACACGGUUGGAUUGGACCACACACACAAAGUACAAUGUUUUAUGCAGCGAUCAUUUCGAAACAUCGAGGGUCCCUUGCGAAAGGCAGAGAUGGGCAUCGCCACAACCCGUCAACUGGUGCUAAAGAAAGGUGCGGCGCCUACUAUUUUCAAGAGACCACAAUCAGCCAUCAUUGGCAGUGCUUCGACAACUUCAGAUCAUACCACGCCGUCCACAAGUGGACAGACCAUGCACAUAAGGUCUGCAUUUGCCAAAAGGGAAAGGUAGAGGACAAUAGAUCAGAUCAUGGCCAGUACGACUACGGCAUCAGUGGUGGAUGCGGUGGAUGAACCAAUGGCAAUGGCACUAAAUUUGCCUGAUGAGGAGGGCGAUCAAGAUCAGGGAAAUACAAGAAAACAAGGAUGCCAAACGGACUGGGUACCGAUUGGAACAGCACCAACGGCAAUGACUAGUGGCAAGAGGACUCAAACAGGGAAAAUACAUCAUAGAUCAAAGGGACACCAGGUGACCACAGAGAUCCUCAAGAGGGUUAGAGCUUGGCCAGCCAGGGUUAGUGAAGUCCCAUCGUCAAGUGCAGCAGCUCCAUCUGACAGCCCCGAGAUGCAGCCCAAUAUAGCAUCUCCAGGUGUGUCUGGAAUGCAAGCCAAGCUACGACCACCAUUGUUUGAGGAAGGACCAGCAUCAAGUCCCGCUGCGCCUUCUGAUAGUGGUUCUUCCGAUGUCAGCUAUGUGCCGAGUGGGUCAUCGACAUUGGAUCCGUGUCAGUCUGAAGGGCCGCCAGAUCCCACACGUACUCCCAAGAUGCGGGAAGAGGGCUGCCACAAGGAACCGAAGUACAUCAUCUUUGAGUCGUGCCUCCAGAGUCUCGUCAAGUGGUGUCACUGCCCAGCCUGUGGCAGCCAGGACAUAAGCCCUUCUUGGGAUUCAAACGGUACACAGCUGAUCAUGACCAUACAAUGUGCAUUAUGUAACCGGAGGAGUAAGGUGGAGCAGCCAGCCAAACAUUGGCCCUUAUGCUGCGGGCAACAUCCUGCUAUCUGCUGGCAUUCUCUUCGCUGGCGCAUCUUCUGGCACGGUGUUACAAGUGCUGAACAGCAUCGGAGUAGUCACGUAUGUGAAGAGAACAUUUUUCAACCACCAAGAGCUCAUCCUGCAGCCAGCCAUCAAAAAGGUGUGGGAGGAACAGCAACGGACCAGCUCACCAUGCCGCAGGAGGAAGGCCGACCCCUCGUCCUUGGUGGUGAUGGGCGAGCAGACAGUCCAGGACACAGCGCCAAGUUCGGUACCUACACCAGAAUGGAGCUAGCGGCCAAUGAGGUUCUCGACCUUCAGGUUGUACAGAGCAAAGAAUGUCAUGGCAGCUACCAUAUGGAGAUGGAAGGACUGAAGAGUAUGGUGGAGCUUCUGAUCAGCUGGGACCUGGGUGUCGGGGUGCUGUUAACAGACAGACACAGACAGAUCGCUAAAUGGAUUCGCGCAAACAUGCCCAAUACACGGCACUGCUAUGAUAUCUGGCAUGUUGGAAAAUCCAUCAGGAAGAAACUGAAGGCCGUCGUCAAGCUGAAGGACUGUGAAGACCUGAAGCCCUGGGUUGUAAGUAUAAUUAACCACCUCUACUGGGCAGCCUGGAGAGGGGGAACUUCUGGAAGUCUGUGGAGCGACACAAUCAGAACAUCCACAAGGACCAUGGCAACCUCUUCCCAAUUUGUGCUCAUGGACAACUGCACGGUAGAAGUAUGCAAAAGAAAGGUCUCAAACCAAGUAAGUAGGCUAAUAAGUUGCCCGAAAGCAGUGAGGGAAUAGCAGUAUUUUCCUGCACAUCUUUUGAAAGUUCCCUGCGAUGAGGGGGCGACUUGUCCAGGGUGUACGCCGCAUACCGCCCGAUUGUAGCUGAGGUAGGCACCAGCGCCCCCCCGUGACCCCAAAGGGAAUAAGCGGUAGAAAAUGGAUGAAUGGAUCUUUUGAAAGUCCAAAAAUUCAGAUAAACUCGUAAAUAUAUAACCAGUUUUCAAGUUGACUGGAAAAUGUUUGUAUAAACAUUGUUCUAUUUUAAAUUUAUGUUUAGGUUCACCUUCAGCAGUGAAACUGGAGUAGGUUGUCAACAACAAGUCCCUGCUGAAAGAUAUCGCCAUGCUGUCGGGUGAACACCAGACUUCCAAGGUGGAGGCGUUCCGUAGCCUUAUCAUACAGGAACCUGCAUGGUGGGCUGCACUGGAAUGAAAACUCGAGCCGCCCUACAGCCACUACAAAAGCGGGUGCUGAGCGCUAUGCAGUACGCUACCCGAAGUAUAAAGCAGGGGGCCAUGUGGUCAAGAAAAUCAUGACAGAGCCAAUUACCACAGACCCCUGACGAGAGAACACCAGUCAGCGUCACCGUGGAUGUGCCUCCCUUCCUCUGCGAUGAAUUGGAGAAGCCAGACAAGGAGGAAGCCAUCGCCAAGCACAGGAGUCGCUUCGCUAAGCGUUAACUACAGUGGCCGUGUGGAUUCUGUUGCAGUCACUGCACGUCUUGGAACCCCGUGUAGUCCAUCGAUGGAAAUGUUGUUCUAAUCUUGUGUACUACACAAGAUGGUAGUGCCACCCUUAUCUCCUUUCCCAGAUAUCCCCAGCAGAAGCGGACAAACUGUCGAUAUGCUGGAAGUACAAAAUAGUUAAUAGCAAAUUAUGGCACCUGUUAUUAUCCAGACAUGGAUACACAGUGACUCACUAUUCUCUGAGAUGCAAAAGACAUUGACAUGCAUUCUAUUCAUUUGUCAUUUACUGUUGCAGUACAUUGUAAAUAUUGUUGACAUCUACAGUCCAUGUAUGUAAUACUUCUAUGAUAUUUAAUGUAAUUUACUAUGUAGAAUAGUACAUUUUACAGAAUAAGAAUAAGAUAAGAAAGUGCUCAUUCUGACUUAUCUUCCAAAGGUUGAUAAAAUAAAGGAUUAUUUAAAUUUA